GAUGAACGCUGGCGGCGUGCCUAAUACAUGCAAGUCGAGCGAACGGACGAGAAGCUUGCUUCUCUGAUGUUAGCGGCGGACGGGUGAGUAACACGUGGAUAACCUACCUAUAAGACUGGGAUAACUUCGGGAAACCGGAGCUAAUACCGGAUAAUAUUUUGAACCGCAUGGUUCAAAAGUGAAAGACGGUCUUGCUGUCACUUAUAGAUGGACCCGCGCUGCAUUAGCUAGUUGGUAAGGUAACGGCUUACCAAGGCAACGAUGCAUAGCCGACCUGAGAGGGUGAUCGGCCACACGGGAACUGAGACACGGUCCAGACUCCUACGGGAGGCAGCAGUAGGGAAUCUGCCGCAAUGGGCGAAAGCCUGACGGAGCAACGCCGCGUGAGUGAUGAAGGUCUUCGGAUCGUAAAACUCUGUUAUUAGGGAAGAACAUAUGUGUAAGUAACUGUGCACAUCUUGACGGUACCUAAGCAGAAAGCCACGGCUAACUACGU
This 496-nucleotide ribosomal RNA is filed under the name uncultured bacterium. RNAcentral's name for it is "partial 16S ribosomal RNA". It matches the Rfam family "Bacterial small subunit ribosomal RNA", at positions 28 to 506 of the family's 1533-position model. The record is from RNAcentral.